GAUGAACGCUGACAGAAUGCUUAACACAUGCAAGUCGAUGGGGAAGUGGUGCUUGCACCAUGGCAACCAUGGCGGACGGGUGAGUAACGCGUAAGGGACUUACCUGCAGGACUGGGAUAACAGGGGGAAACUCCUGACAAGACCGGAUAAUGUCAUGGAGCUGCAUGGCUUUAUGAUGAAAGGAGACGCCUGCGGAGAGCCUUGCGUCCUAUUAGCUAGUUGGUGAGGUAAUGGCUCACCAAGGCGAAGAUAGGUAGCCGGCCUGAGAGGGUGGACGGCCACAAGGGGACUGAGAUACGGCCCUUACUCCUACGGGAGGCAGCAGUGGGGAAUAUUGGACAAUGGGGGCAACCCUGAUGCAGCAAUUCUGUGUGCACGAAGAAGGUUUUCGGAUUGUAAAGUGCUUUCAGCAGGGAAGAAGUAAGUGACGGUACCUGCAGAAGAAGCGACGGCUAAAUACGUG
Molecule: ribosomal RNA, 463 nt
Filed under: uncultured bacterium
Lineage: Bacteria
Description: partial 16S ribosomal RNA
Rfam family: Bacterial small subunit ribosomal RNA
Source: RNAcentral